CUGGCCUGUGCCACAUCCCACGUCCACUGCCAGGUGAAAGGAGGUCACCUUCUGAGGGAAGACAGCAGCACAUAUUGAGAAGCAUAGCAUCAAUUCACUUACAAGCUGCAAGGCACGGAUUCUUCGGUUUUCAAGGAUGCGUGUGUUUGGAGAGGAGGAUCCUUAGUGUUUUCAGUUUCACAAAAAGGAGCGGAGAAGACUCUUCAUGGCAAAGAAUUCUGGGGCUCAUCCAUUCUCAAGUUCAACCUCAAACUGGGAGAAGAAAUGGUAAGAUAGUCGUGGGAAGGAACUUGUGGGAUGAAAGCAUCCUUUUUUAAACUUCCCAAAUAUAGCCUUGUUAGCUGCCCUCUGUUCAUCCUGCUGUUGAUCGCUCUCCUCCUGCUUUUAGGGAUUUAAACUGCACAGAUUAAGCCAUCAUCCCUCCGAUGUUCCUGUGCGCACUCUCUCUCUCUCUCUCUCUGCAAGGGCAUAUCUAAUAAAAAGAUGAGAGGCUGUUCAAAAAUUCACUUUAAUAAGCAGUGCGGUGGGUCUCUGAACAGUCGUCUCCUGACGGAUGCACAUUUUACCUGGUACAUGAAAUUGCUGUUCAUCAUCACAGUGGCAGAGGUCUGGGACAUGAUGUCCGCAGGUUUCAUGCAGGCAGCAUGGACUAAGGCGGUUACAGCGCUGAUUCCACAAAAUGCUCUUUGCUUGCUCAUGUACUCAUUUUAAAUCUUUUGUGGGGCCUACUUUGACAAAUGCUCUCAGAAGAGUUACGUUAAAAAUGCUCUUUAAACAACUAAAGAGCAUAAGACAAAACAUCCAGGAUUUGCCAGCCUCUGCACACACCUUGCUAGCUGGGCUAGCAAGGCGCAUUGUCUGGGGAGAUUCUCAAGAGCCACAUAGGGAUGGCUGGAGGGCCACAUUCAGAGAAU
Molecule: non-coding RNA, 914 nt
Organism: Podarcis muralis (Common wall lizard)
Lineage: Eukaryota; Metazoa; Chordata; Lepidosauria; Squamata; Lacertidae
Source: RefSeq, a predicted model, not a curated record